This is a long non-coding RNA of Haliaeetus leucocephalus (bald eagle), 665 nucleotides long. RefSeq lists it as uncharacterized. The record is from RefSeq and is a predicted model, not a curated record. NCBI's taxonomy places the organism in Eukaryota, Metazoa, Chordata, Aves, Accipitriformes, Accipitridae. The transcript is spliced from 2 exons.
GGGCCCCUUCGUCUCCCGGCGCGGCGGCGCGGGCUGAGGGGAGCGGGCCGCCUGCCGUCGCCCUCCCGCUCCCUCCUUCUCCGUUGGAGGAAGGUGCAGAGCAUGGAGAAUGAUGAACUUCCGCCAGAGGAUGGGAUGGAUUGGUGUGGGGUUGUACUUGUUAGCAAGUGCUGCAGCUUUUUAUUACGUCUUUGAAAUCAAUGAGACUUACAACAAACUAGCACUGGAGCACAUUCAGCAACACCCCAAGGAACCACAGGAAGGAACCACAUGGAUGCACUCCUUAAAAGUACGACUGCUAUCCUUGCCUUUUUGGCUGUGGACUAUAAUAUUUUUAAUACCAUAUUUACAGAUGUUCUUGUUCCUCUAUUCCUGUACAAGAGCUGACCCCAAAACUGUUGGGUAUUGCAUCAUUCCUAUCUGCUUGGCUGUUAUUUGCAAUCGUCAUCAAACAUUUGUGAAGGCCUCAAAUCAGAUCAGUAGAUUACAACUGAUUGACACUUAGCUCAAUUUCUACUUUCUGUAGCUGUUUUGAAGCAAUUGCAUAUGCCUGAUCUAAUCACAAGACUGAAGUUCUGAGUGAAGGCUGGAAAAAGCCUUUUCUUUCAAACUGUUAAGCAAUGAAAAGAGUGACUGUUUUCUAUUUAAAAAAAAAAAGAAAAAAA